AUAGUUCUUCGGGGCAGGGUGCGAUUCCCUACCGGCGGUGAUAGUCCGCGACCCGCUUAUGGCGGCUGAUUUGGUGCAAUUCCAAAACCGACAGUAUAGUCUGGAUGAGAGAAGAAAUUG
Molecule: regulatory RNA element, 120 nt
Rfam family: FMN riboswitch aptamer (RFN element)
About the family: The RFN element is a highly conserved domain that is found frequently in the 5'-untranslated regions of prokaryotic mRNAs that encode for flavin mononucleotide (FMN) biosynthesis and transport proteins. This element is a metabolite-dependent riboswitch that directly binds FMN in the absence of proteins. In Bacillus subtilis, the riboswitch most likely controls gene expression by causing premature transcription termination within the 5' untranslated region of the ribDEAHT operon and precluding access to the ribosome-binding site of ypaA mRNA.
Source: Rfam